This 273-nucleotide ribosomal RNA is filed under the name uncultured prokaryote. RNAcentral's name for it is "partial 16S ribosomal RNA". It matches the Rfam family "Bacterial small subunit ribosomal RNA", at positions 524 to 798 of the family's 1533-position model. The record is from RNAcentral.
UACGUAGGGGCGAGCGUUGUCCGGAAUUAUUGGGCGUAAAGGGUUCGCAGGCGGUCUGAUAAGUCAGAUGUGAAAGGCUAUGGCUUAACCAUAGUAAGCAUUUGAAACUGUCAGACUUGAGUUAAGGAGAGGAAAGUGGAAUUCCUAGUGUAGCGGUGAAAUGCGUAGAUAUUAGGAGGAACACCAGUUGCGAAGGCGGCUCUCUGGACUGUAACCGACACUGAGGCACGAAAGCGUGGGGAGCAAACAGGAUUAGAUACCCCCGUAGUCCCU